GGUUUUGAAUGGAACUGACCUGCUCUCUACGUCAUAUGCCAGGAAAGUAGGCCUGGUUCAACUAGAGAGAAAUUGAGAAGCAGCAUCCACUGAAGUAUCACAUGGCUUCCCAGAAUGUAUUACACAUUGCUACUGAGUCACAGUAUGUGGAAAUGUGGAGACCGAGAAUACAGAACUGUGUAGGAGUGAGUGGGUCUGCCACCUCUCCCUGUACCCAUCCAGUGUGAAACAAGGCCAUUCAUGCACACAUUACUAGAAAUGCCCUGGAGGCCUUAUGAAUAAUCAUUGGAGCAGUAUCUGCUGCAAGAUAACAUUGUGCUUUAUUUUUGCCUUUAAGUAAAAGGAAUCUGAAAUGAAACAAUCUUCAUUUCAGAUAUAAAUCAGCCCCAUAAACUUGAAGCUAACCAGAGAUCCUGAGGCAUUCUCAUUACAUGAAGUAAUUGGUUGGUUGCAAGACUCAAUUGUCCUGCAAAGUCUCUGAGAAUUCAGAUGAGCAGUUAUCUGAAGAGUUAUACAUCCUCUCACCUGACGUGUUAUAGCAACACAUAGCACUGGCCAGUGGGGAGAAUGAUUUCUAGUCUCUGGUGAGGCCUGAACUCUCCAGCAAGUGGGCCUAUGACUCAGAAACCCCGUGCUUCAGUAUCCGAAGGUGGCCAGGGAACUUUGAGGUCCCUUUGAGGAAAUGAAACUUCAUCAAAAGCAACCGAUAUUAAUGAUAUAUUGUGCAUCUAUUGUGUACAUCCAGUUUUGUAGUCUCCUUGGUGACGUUUAUCUUAUUUAACCUCCCCAAGAAAUCAGCAAAAUAAGUACCAUUACCCUCUUUUAUGGAAUAAAACUAAAACUCACAGAGGUUGGGUAACUUUGGAAUCACUCAACCUUCUCAACGCAUGAAGAAAAAAUCCUAAAUCUGACCCAAACAGGAGACAUCGGAGAGCAGAUGCAAGAGACCUGAAUCUUAAUCCUGAAAUGGAGAAAGCCAAGAAUAUCCUGAUCUAAACCACAGAGCCCUCAAAAGGCUCAGAACAACACACAAGUUUUUGGGAAGUUACUGGCGGAUGUGUGUCAUCAAAACAAGCGAAUCAGCAGUCCUCUCUCUAAGAAGAAACAACUGGAAAUGCUGGGUUCUUGAAUUCUGAUUUUCUUUUAGGGUGAGAAAGUGGGUCACUCAGCUCUACUUUAUAAUAUUGGGCUCCUGAGAAUGAUUAGUAUUUAAAUGAGCAGAGAUACUUCUAAAGUGUUCUAUUAUCUAAAUUAUACAGGGAUAAGAAAAUGGGAGGUUAGCACAGACAGAGUGAACCCCCAGGGUGAGGGUGAAGGGAGAUGACUGGUACAUAGCCCAGUCCCGGGCAGGGAGGAUGAACAUCCAGACCCAAGCACUGAGGCACAGGAGGUAGGCAGGCUGCGGAUUGUCAUCACCACAUCAUUGGCUGCCAUACCUUCUUCUUCUUCUUUUUAAUAAACUUCAUUUUUAGAGUAGUUUUACAUUCAUAGUAAAAUUGAAUGGAAGAUACAGAGGUUUUCCAUAUACCCUCUGCCCCAACACAUGCAUAGCGUCCUCAAUUAUCCACAUCCCUCACCUCAGGGGUAUGUUUGUUCCAAUUGAUUAAUCUUCAUUGACACAUCAUGAUCACCUAAAGUCCAUACUUUACAUUAGCGUUUACUUUUGGUACAUCUAAAUUCUUCAGGUUUGUAUAAAAGUAUAAUGACAUGUCCAUCAUUACAGUAACAUACAGAGUAGUCUCACUGCCCUGAAAGUUCUCUGUGUUCUGUUUGUCCCUCCCUCCCCCUUAACCCUAUGGCAAUCACUGAUCUUUUUACUGUCU
This is a long non-coding RNA of Rhinopithecus roxellana (golden snub-nosed monkey), 1823 nucleotides long. RefSeq lists it as uncharacterized. The transcript has 3 exons. The record is from RefSeq and is a predicted model, not a curated record. NCBI's taxonomy places the organism in Eukaryota, Metazoa, Chordata, Mammalia, Primates, Cercopithecidae.